GGAAUAUUGCACAAUGGGGGAAACCCUGAUGCAGCGACGCCGCGUGAGCGAAGAAGGUUUUCGAAUCGUAAAGCUCUGUCCUAUGAGAAGAUAAUGACGGUAUCAUAGGAGGAAGCCCCGGCUAAAUACGUGCCAGCAGCCGCGGUAAUACGUAUGGGGCGAGCGUUGUCCGGAAUUAUUGGGCGUAAAGGGUACGUAGGCGGCCUUUUAAGUCAGGUGUGAAAGCGUGAGGCUUAACCUCAUUAAGCACUUGAAACUGGAAGGCUUGAGUGAAGGAGAGGAAAGUGGAAUUCCUAGUGUAGCGGUGAAAUGCGUAGAUAUUAGGAGGAAUACCGGUGGCGAAGGCGACUUUCUGGACUUUUACUGACGCUCAGGUACGAAAGCGUGGGGAGCAAACAGGA
This 401-nucleotide unclassified non-coding RNA is filed under the name plant metagenome. Its description in RNAcentral is "partial contains 5.8S ribosomal RNA, internal transcribed spacer 2, and large subunit ribosomal RNA". It matches the Rfam family "Bacterial small subunit ribosomal RNA", at positions 358 to 777 of the family's 1533-position model. The record is from RNAcentral.